This 393-nucleotide ribosomal RNA is filed under the name Salmonella enterica subsp. enterica serovar Derby. Its description in RNAcentral is "bacterial SSU rRNA". It matches the Rfam family "Bacterial small subunit ribosomal RNA", at positions 865 to 1258 of the family's 1533-position model. The record is from RNAcentral. RNAcentral also lists the same sequence under 2 other names. Lineage: Bacteria; Pseudomonadati; Pseudomonadota; Gammaproteobacteria; Enterobacterales; Enterobacteriaceae.
UAGACCGCCUGGGGAGUACGGCCGCAAGGUUAAAACUCAAAUGAAUUGACGGGGGCCCGCACAAGCGGUGGAGCAUGUGGUUUAAUUCGAUGCAACGCGAAGAACCUUACCUGGUCUUGACAUCCACAGAACUUUCCAGAGAUGGACUGGUGCCUUCGGGAACUGUGAGACAGGUGCUGCAUGGCUGUCGUCAGCUCGUGUUGUGAAAUGUUGGGUUAAGUCCCGCAACGAGCGCAACCCUUAUCCUUUGUUGCCAGCGGUCCGGCCGGGAACUCAAAGGAGACUGCCAGUGAUAAACUGGAGGAAGGUGGGGAUGACGUCAAGUCAUCAUGGCCCUUACGACCAGGGCUACACACGUGCUACAAUGGCGCAUACAAAGAGAAGCGACCUCGC